UUGGCCGUGAACGUCCAGUAAUCCUGCGUCUCCAGGAGCGCCUGGUAGCUGUAAUGGUCGCCGUCCGCGAGGACCGCGAGCACCGUCUCAUCGCCGUACUUGCCCGCGCCGAUCUUGUUGACCUUGCCGUGCGCGAUGAGGCAGAUGUGAUCGGCCUCCUUGCCGCGCUCGGUGAUGACGUCGCCGGGCUUGUAUUCACGCUGCACGAAGCGGUUCGCCAGCGCGGUGAGGACCUCGACGUCCUCGUAACCGCGGAGGAGCGGCAGCUCGCAGAGCUCCUGCGGGAUGACAUGGAUCUUCGCGCCGGUGUUCGUGAACGUCACCCGCCCGUCGCCCACCGCAUAGCUCAGGCGGCGGUUCACGCGGUACACGCCGUUGACGUGCACCCACGGCAGGAGCUUGACCAGCCACCGCGACGAGAUGCCCUGCAUCUGCGGCGCCGACUUGGUCGUCGUCGCGAGCUGCCGCGCGGCCGCCGUCGCGAGGCUGGUCUGGUGCUGAUCGA
RNAcentral lists this antisense RNA (505 nucleotides) under Sorangium cellulosum So ce56. RNAcentral describes it as "Sorangium cellulosum 'So ce 56' Saccharopolyspora sRNA 350". It matches the Rfam family "Saccharopolyspora sRNA 350". The record is from Rfam by way of RNAcentral. Lineage: Bacteria; Pseudomonadati; Myxococcota; Polyangiales; Polyangiaceae.